Molecule: long non-coding RNA, 1207 nt
Filed under: Prunus dulcis (almond)
Lineage: Eukaryota; Viridiplantae; Streptophyta; Magnoliopsida; Rosales; Rosaceae
Description: sRNA ncRNA
Source: RNAcentral
AGGAAAUUGAUCGGAGCCAUGGACUCGUCGUGACGUCCAGUCGAUCGUCACCGAUUCAAUUGGGAACGGCUUAUGAGUCGUUUAUCCUCAUGGAAAAUUGGUAUGUUUGGUUUUAAGGAAACAAAGGUGAAACCCGAAACCCUAAUUUUUAUGUUUGGUUACUUGGAAAGUGUAGAAACAGGAAGGAAAUUUGAUUUUUGUUUUGUUUUUAUUAAUGGGUUUCUUUAGUUGUAUGUGAGUUGUUAGUGAAUUGCACUGUUUGGAUGAGUUGGUUUGUGCGUCUAGGGAUUUAGGAAUUUGGAAACACAAAUAACAAUGAGAAACUGAUGAUAAUGUAUUUCGAUAUAUAUGAUAUAUUUUAUUGGUAGAAAGAAUUAGGAAUUUGAGAAAUUUUCUGGUGUCUUCAAUUGUGGGUUUCUGAUCUAAAUUAUUUCUUUUGUAUGAUCAGCUGGAUGUUGGAGAACCAGCUGUUACUCCCAAAGGUAAAAUGGAUAUAUAUAUUAAUUAGGUACAUGCAUAUAUAUAGAGUUGCAUUUGAUCUUUCUAGUUUUGUUUUCUUACCCUAUUCUUGUUGUGUUGUCAUGUUCAUGUUCUACUAAUGAUGAAGUAAUUGUUGCCGUCGACAAUAUUCGUUUGGAUGGGAAGAACUACAAUAUUUGGAGUUAUAGAAUGCAUUCGUACGUCCUAGAUAAUAGUCUUACACGUGUGCUCUAUGCGCCAUGCCCAAGAUUUUUGGUAGAAACUGAAGCAAGUGUUGAAGAAAUUGCUAUAUCAAGGGCUGCUGAAGAGAUAUGAAACAAGAAUGACUCCCUGUGUUUUCAUACAAUCUUGAACCAUCUAUCUGAUGAUCUCUUCCAUCAUUACUCAAAGAGGGGGAAGAAAACAAGUGCUAAGCAACUUUGGCAUGAGCUACAAUCGAGGUUUGGAGAACAAAAUUCUUGCGUUCCAGAUUACCUGGAAUAUCAUUUCCUUGAAGAGGAACCAAUGGUGGAGCAGGUUGAAGAACUGAAUGCAAGGUUCAAAGAACUGGUUAAAUGUGAAGAAAUGGCGAUAGACGAGGAAUUUCAUGUGAAUACAAUCAUCUCCAAACUCCCCCCCUCUUGGGAGGAUGUGCGCAUCGAGUUGAUGCGUGAGGAUGAGGAGGAGCACAGGCGCUGGGGCCGGGCUGCACCAGAUUCUUCUUUCCCCUUUUUUUUUUUUUUUUUUU